This 169-nucleotide small RNA is filed under the name Marmota monax (woodchuck). The record is from RNAcentral. Lineage: Eukaryota; Metazoa; Chordata; Mammalia; Rodentia; Sciuridae.
GCUGGGCGUGGUGGUGCACACUUGUAAUCCCAGUGGCUUGGGAGGCUGAGGCAGGAGGAUAGUGAGUUCAAAGCCAGCCACAGCCACAGCCACAGCCACAGCUGUGGCUGUGGCUGUGGCUCAGUGGUUGAGUGCCCUUGAGUUCAAAAUUCCUGGUACCCCACCUCAA